Nelumbo nucifera (sacred lotus) is the source of this 507-nucleotide long non-coding RNA. RefSeq lists it as uncharacterized. NCBI's taxonomy places the organism in Eukaryota, Viridiplantae, Streptophyta, Magnoliopsida, Proteales, Nelumbonaceae. The record is from RefSeq and is a predicted model, not a curated record.
CAGUUUUUGCCCUCUUAACUCCUCUCUGCUUCCUUCCAUUGUUUCACCUAACAUGUGCCACACCCACUUCUCCAAAUGGGGUGGCUGCAAUCCCUCAUCUCCCCAUUGAAGAAGCUCUGGGAUCGUCUACACUCGCCUCAAGAAAAGAGAAGAGGGAUAUACAUCCUGUAUGAAGACGUCAAGUCAUGCCCUUAUGAAGAUGUGCACGUCCUGUGGUCGAUCCUGGUGGAGUUGCAUACACCAUCCUUGCCAUCCAAACGAGGCCUUAUAAUAGGCCCAUAGAGAGAGAGAGAGAAGAGGCUAAAGGAACAAUUAAUGAGAAGCUUUCCUAUCAUGUACAUAAUAUAUAAAGCAAACACACACAGAAUCAUCACAGAAACAAAUUAAGACAUAUUUUAAUAUGCACUCAUUCACAUAGUUUCUCUGAUUUUUCAUAGAAGGAUGGCCAUGGCCUUCUUGUAAUAGUGUUAAUUCCCACCUAACUAAUCCCCAAAACAAUCUUUUAUU